UACGUAGGGUGCGAGCGUUAAUCGGAAUUACUGGGCGUAAAGCGUGCGCAGGCGGUUCGCCAAGUCAGGUGUGAAAUCCCCGGGCUUAACCUGGGAAUUGCGCUUGGAACUGGAAGGCUAGAGUGUGUCAGAGGGGGGUAGAAUUCCACGUGUAGCAGUGAAAUGCGUAGAGAUGUGGAGGAAUACCGAUGGCGAAGGCAGCCCCCUGGGAUAACACUGACGCUCAUGUACGAAAGCGUGGGUAGCAAACAGG
RNAcentral lists this ribosomal RNA (253 nucleotides) under uncultured bacterium. RNAcentral describes it as "partial 16S ribosomal RNA". It matches the Rfam family "Bacterial small subunit ribosomal RNA", at positions 524 to 776 of the family's 1533-position model. The record is from RNAcentral.